CAGCAUGGUCUUAGCUUGCUAAGGCUGAUGGCGACCGGCGCACGGGUGAGUAACACGUAUCCAACCUGCCGUCUACUCUUGGCCAGCCUUCUGAAAGGAAGAUUAAUCCAGGAUGGGAUCAUGAGUUCACAUGUCCGCAUGAUUAAAGGUAUUUUCCGGUAGACGAUGGGGAUGCGUUCCAUUAGAUAGUAGGCGGGGUAACGGCCCACCUAGUCAACGAUGGAUAGGGGUUCUGAGAGGAAGGUCCCCCACAUUGGAACUGAGACACGGUCCAAACUCCUACGGGAGGCAGCAGUGAGGAAUAUUGGUCAAUGGGCGAUGGCCUGAACCAGCCAAGUAGCGUGAAGGAUGACUGCCCUAUGGGUUGUAAACUUCUUUUAUAAAGGAAUAAAGUCGGGUAUGCAUACCCGUUUGCAUGUACUUUAUGAAUAAGGAUCGGCUAACUCCGUGCCAGCAGCCGCGGUAAUACGGAGGAUCCGAGCGUUAUCCGGAUUUAUUGGGUUUAAAGGGAGCGUAGAUGGAUGUUUAAGUCAGUUGUGAAAGUUUGCGGCUCAACCGUAAAAUUGCAGUUGAUACUGGAUGUCUUGAGUGCAGUUGAGGCAGGCGGAAUUCGUGGUGUAGCGGUGAAAUGCUUAGAUAUCACGAAGAACUCCGAUUGCGAAGGCAGCCUGCUA
Molecule: ribosomal RNA, 674 nt
Filed under: uncultured Bacteroidales bacterium
Lineage: Bacteria; Pseudomonadati; Bacteroidota; Bacteroidia; Bacteroidales
Description: bacterial SSU rRNA
Rfam family: Bacterial small subunit ribosomal RNA
Source: RNAcentral